GAUGAACGCUGGCGGCGUGCCUAAUACAUGCAAGUCGAGCGAACGGACGAGAAGCUUGCUUCUCUGAUGUUAGCGGCGGACGGGUGAGUAACACGUGGAUAACCUACCUAUAAGACUGGGAUAACUUCGGGAAACCGGAGCUAAUACCGGAUAAUAUUUUGAACCGCAUGGUUCAAAAGUGAAAGACGGUCUUGCUGUCACUUAUAGAUGGAUCCGCGCUGCAUUAGCUAGUUGGUAAGGUAACGGCUUACCAAGGCAACGAUGCAUAGCCGACCUGAGAGGGUGAUCGUCCACACUGGAACUGAGACACGGUCCAGACUCCUACGGGAGGCAGCAGUAGGGAAUCUUCCGCAUGGGCGAAAGCCUGACGGAGCAACGCCGCGUGAGUGAUGAAGGUCUUCGGAUCGUAAAACUCUGUUACUAGGGAAGAACAUAUGUGUAAGUAACUGUGCACAUCUUGACGGUACCUAAUCAGAAAGCCACGGCUAACUACGUG
RNAcentral lists this ribosomal RNA (496 nucleotides) under uncultured bacterium. RNAcentral's name for it is "partial 16S ribosomal RNA". It matches the Rfam family "Bacterial small subunit ribosomal RNA", at positions 28 to 507 of the family's 1533-position model. The record is from RNAcentral.